AGAGUUUGAUCAUGGCUCAGGACGAACGCUGGCGGCGUGCCUAAAACAUGCAAGUCGAACGGGGGAGUAAUCCCUAGUGGCGAACGGCGGAGUAAUACAUGAGGAACGUGCCCUGAAGACUGGGAUAGUUGUUGGAAACGACAGGUAAUACCAGAUGUGACGGACUUUCGGCAUCGGAGGUCCAUUAAAUAGUUUUUUGCUUCAGGAGCGCCUCAUGGCCUAUCAGGUAGUUGGUGAGGUAACGGCUCACCAAGCCGACGACGGGUAGCGGGUCUCAGAGGAUGAUCCGCUCGAGUGGGACUGAGACACGGCCCACACACCUACGGGUGGCAGCAGUUGGGAAUCUUGCACAAUGGGGGAAACCCUGAUGCAGCGACGCCGCGUGGAGGACGAAGGGUCUAGGCCUGUAAACUCCUUUUAUCGGGAAAGACUUAGGACGGUACCCGAUGAAUAAGGACCGGCUAACUACGUGCCAGCAGCCGCGGUGAGACGUAGGGUCCAAGCGUUGUCCGGAUUUACUGGGCGUAGAGAGCGCGUAGGCGGCUCGUUAAGUGUGAAGUGAAAUCUCUAGGGCUCAACCCAGAAAUUGCUUUACAUACUGGCGAGCUAGAGGGAUGCAGAGGUUUGUGGAAUUCCUGGUGUAGCGGUGAAAUGCGUAGAUAUCAGGAGGAACACCCAUGGCGAAGGCAGCAAACUGGGCAUCAUCUGACGCUGAGGCGCGAAAGCGUGGGUAGCAAACAGGAUUAGAUACCCUGGUAGUCCACGCCCUAAACGAUGGAUACUAUGCGUAAGAGGUAUCGACCCCUCUUGUGCCGCAGCUAACGCAUUAAGUAUCCCGCCUGGGGAGUACGGCCGCAAGGUUGAAACUCAAUGAAUUGACGGGACCCGCACAAGCGGUGGAGCAUGUGGAUUAAUUCGAUACUAACCGAAGAACCUUGCCCAGACUUGACAUCGAUCGCAAAGUCCAGAAAU
Molecule: ribosomal RNA, 972 nt
Filed under: uncultured bacterium
Lineage: Bacteria
Description: bacterial SSU rRNA
Rfam family: Bacterial small subunit ribosomal RNA
Source: RNAcentral